RNAcentral lists this long non-coding RNA (31422 nucleotides) under Prunus persica (peach). Its description in RNAcentral is "long non-coding RNA (PPER_LNC001538)". The record is from RNAcentral. Lineage: Eukaryota; Viridiplantae; Streptophyta; Magnoliopsida; Rosales; Rosaceae.
GGAAUCUCUGUAUCAUGAUCAGUGGAUGUAUCGAUCGACCAUCCCAAGAAAAAGGAUAUACGUACUCUGCAUAUGUGCAUGCCAACAACUAUAAAAGGAGACCAUGAGGCAAUGAGUUGAUCAUCAAAGCAAACACACAGAAAUCCCAACUAAAAAUCAAUCAGUGAGACAAUGGCUGGAACCAAUGAUAUUAAAAUUAAAGGGUUUGAUUUGAGCAACAACAAAGGCAACACGUCGGGAUUAACCCACUUCGCCAACAGAGCUGCCGAGGGCGACAAGGGCGACAAUAAAAUCGAGGUUGAGGAUGCUAAAGGGCAAGGGAACACGGGAAACUUGAAAGUACUGACCGACUUCGCCCAACGCGGUAAAGUGGGCCAGUCGGAUCGCCAAGAACUACUCAAACCUCAGGCAUGAAAUUGAAGAAGGCCAGACCACAACAACUUGUCUGCUUGAUAGAUAUAUGUGCUAAAUUAUCUACACAAAAAUAAGAGCUGAUGUUUUAUCUGAGGCUCCUUCCUUGGUUAGGCCUCGUUAUCAUGUGUAAUAUUAAUAUUAUUAUUCUAAUAAAAUAAUGGUAGCUUAUUAUUAAAUAUAUCAGAAUUCUAUACGUAUAACUUUUAGAUUAUUGAUACUGAUGUCAACAAGAGAAAAUGAUUAAAAAUUCCUUUCUCCAAUUCGUGAUGUUAGACAAGAAGCAAACAAAUUUAGGAUAAUGGAUUUUAAAAGUUUGGUGACAAAUGAUGGUAAAGAAGAAUUUAGCCACUACUACAAAAAGUGAAAAAGACGACCAGAAAACAACGACGGUCUAAGUGAAAACCGUCGUGGUUUAUAAAAAGACGACGGUUCUAAAAACACCGUCGUGUAAUACAACCUUAGACAACUAAAAAAUGGAGUUUCAAAUGGCUGUUCAAAAACAACGACGUACAUAAUUAAACAACCGACGUCUAUUUGAAACAGAUUUCCUCAGUGUAAAAUCAAUGCCAACAAAGAACGGCAGAAGUUAUGAAUCGACCGACGUAGAAAGUAAAGACGACGAUUUCAAUAAAAACUGCCGUUUUUACUCAUAAAAUAACACGACGAGGUUUUCGUAUAAGACGCCGUAUAAUUACAAACAAAUCCACGGCUUUAAAAUACAAAAUAUCGCCGUAUUAAAUUAAUUUACAACGACGGAAAAUAUAAAUAUAUCGACGUCAUUCUCGUAUAGUUCUACUACGUUAUCUUUAAAUCGUACAAUAAAAUUUAUCGUCGUAUUUAUUCAUUUUAUACGUCGUACCUUUAAUUUUAACGGUCGUCUUAAUAAGAAUUUUUGUUAACAAUUUUUUUCUUUGAUUUUCUUAUCCUACGUCGGUAGAUCUACUUAAUGACAAGAAUUGAAAUAACCACGACGGUUUAUAUAGAACACCGCCGACAUAAUCAGUUUUGUCUGAGAUCCCAAGGGUUACGAAAUCUUACCAGAUGGAACUCUGUUCCACAUCAUAAUCUUAACAGAUGACACAGAUUUGCAAAUAUUGCGUCGUGUUAGUUUACAAAUUCUAGAACAUUAAUUUCCCUCAUUUUAAAUUUCCUCGGGAAAGAAAAAUCUAUUUAUCACGCUUUGGAAUUGAAAACUAAAACUGAAAGAAUACGGGAAAAAAAACUCCAUUUAUAAUUUAAAAUUAAAAUCCACGUCGGUUGUAGUACACUUAACGACGUUUAACAAAAUAAUCUACGUCGGUAAUUAUAAAUCUACCGCCAUCGUAACUUAAUAUAGACGACGAGAAAAGACGACGGUAGAACAGAAAACCGCCGUUGUUUCAGUUUCUUUAACAUAUCUUUCUGCAGGACUUGUGUAGUUCAAAGCAUUGACAAUGUCUUCAUCAUAUCUCCCAGAAACUACUGAUUCAAUUGCUCAUGCUUUAGAGGCCAUCUGAAGCCAUUUCUAUUCUUUAUCGCAUUCUUGAAACCCAUCUUCUUCUUCUGAAGCUCUACGGAUAAAGGAAGAGGCUAUCACAAUAAAUCCGACGGAUCUUCUUAGGCAAGAAAAUCAAGCAGAGGAUCAGGCACAUCUGAUCUUCAGAUUUCCCUGAGAAGCGAACUUUCCUUCGACAGCGAGUGGAGGCCAGGCUUGCAUCUCUUUUGAUGGAAAGCAAGGAGUAUUCAGAAGCACUAAGUGUCCUAUCAGGCUUGAUCAAGGAAGUGAGAAGGCUAGUUGACAAGCUUCUUCUUGUGGACAUAUAUUUGAUGCGAGUAAGCUCAAUUUCUCUUUGAGAAAACAUCCAAAUUAUUAUCUUUGAGACAUGAGAGACUGAGAGAGGAAGAACUUGGAACCUUAAAUGUAAACCGAAAAUGAAUGAAAGCGACAAAUUUAUAGAAUAAAUUUUUAAAACCAACGGCGGUCCUUACAAACAAACCGCCGUUUAAAUUGUAAAAUCAACGUCGGUAUGAUCGACGUAUAUUACAGAAAUCCACGUCGGUAAAUUAAUAAAAACGACGUGUUAAAUAAUAUACCAUGACGCGAGUUAUUACUUAUGUACUUUAAUUUUUGAGUUUACUACGACGGUACCUACAAACUACUGUCGUAUUUAUUUACCACGUCCGAAGUUAAAUGUACCGUCGUAUUUUGUAAUUUAUACGUCGUAGUUAUAUGUAACCGCCAUAUUAUUUUUUUGAAAUGGUUUUAUAUGUAAGCAACUUUUCGUCUACUUGACUUACACAUUUGUUGUUUUUAUAUUCUUAUUUUAUUUAAAUCUGUCAUCCAAAAAAGAAACUUUACAUAUUGCAGAAUAUUAAUUUCCUUCGUUUUAAAUUUCCUCCGGAAAAAAAACUCUAUUUAUAACGCACUGUAAUUGAAAAAUAAACUGAAAGGUCACGGGAAAAAAAAUUCUAUUCAUAAUUUAAAAAUUAAAAUCCACGUCGGUUAUAUUAAACCUAACGACGUUAAAUGAAAUGAUUCCACGUCGAAUGAAAAAUAUUGCGUCGUUUUAGUUAAAAACGACGUAGUUAAAUGUAACCGCCGUAUUAUUUUUUUGAAAUGGUUUUAUAUGUAAGCAACUUUUCGACUUACACAUGCACUGUUUCCAAACCCGAUUAAAAAUUUCAAUCUCCCAGAGAAACCUUUUCGUCUUUUUUCCUUGUCAGAGCAUUGUCAGAGUUUUUCAUCGUCUUCCUCUCGUCUUCUUCGUCGUCUCUGAACUUAAACAUCGAUCAUCUUCCUCUUGCUUUCAUUGCACGCAAAAGGUAAGCUUUCAUUUUCACUAUUUUGGUUACUGUUUUGCAUGCUCAUACGUUUUUUGUUUGAAAAAUCUUUUUACCUUUUUUCUGGCCAAAAUCAUUUUACUUCUUUCCAAGUUUGAUAAAAUAUACAGACAAAGAGAGAAAGUUUCCAACUUUGAAGACAACUACAUCAACUAAAUAAGACGACGGUAGACCACGACGGUUCGUCAGUUGUUCUAGCGUCGUCUGAAAAUUGACAAAGUUGUUUUUAAAAUAAUAGUCUUUUUUUAUAUGCUUGUUUAAUUGCAGGUUUGAUUUCGCUGAACAAUGGUUUUUGUUUUUCCCUUAUUUGAUAAAAUAUAAAGAAAAAGAAACUAGGGUUGGUAUCUAAUAUAGACGAUAAAAUAUAAAUAAUAGUUUACCACGACGGUGUAUUACUAUUGACGUCGUGUGAACAUAUAUACCACGACGUUAUAUAAAUAAUGGUUUUAAACAUUUAUUACGUCUGAGAUUAUUUCAUUGCGUCGUCUAAAAUCAUAUCAUACGUCGUAUUUUUUUAAUACCGUCGUUUGUGUUCUUAAUGUUUUCCUGAAAUAUUUUCACUUGCAGUUUUGUCUGUUAAAAUGGUUUCUCAACAACAAACUAAGGAUUCUGGCUCCAAGAAGCUUGGAAUGGUAGCUCCUCAAGAUAAGUCUUCGAAGGAGAUGAAGUCUUCGAAGAAGAUGAAGUUUGCUUCAUCAUCUGCUGAGACAGAACAAACCAGCCAGACAACAAUCUCAGAUGAUUCAAAGACUGGUCGAGGUAUGAGCACAAUGCCUCGUGUUGUGAAGAGAAAGCUUCAGAAACUGAGGCCAAUUGUUGAGUACAAUAAAAGGGGGAAAGGUGUUGGCCAAGCACAUAUUGAGAUGCAGUCGUAUAUUGGUGUGUUGGCACGCUCCAGGAUCCCACUUGUGGACAAGAAAUGGUCCCAAAUCCCCAAGGAUAUAAAGGAGCAGAUUUGGGAAGCAGUUGACAUGGCUUUUGUCGUAGGCCAAGGGGGCAAGACCUCUGUUUUAGCUUCUGCUUCCAAGAAAUGGAAGGAUUUCAAGUCUACACUAACGAGGCAUUAUAUCCUUCCAUACACCAAUGACAGGGAGAAAUUAAGCCAACCCCCUGAAACAUAUAAAUUCAUAGAGAAAGCACAAUGGGAUGCCUUUGUAGCUUCAAGGCUAUCCAAAGAUUUUGAGUCUGUGCAUUCUCAACAUGCACAGAUUAGGGAGAAACUCGAGUACAAUCAUCGAUUGUCUCGAAAAGGAUAUGCUGGAUUGGAGGAUCAAUUGGAGGAAACCAUGCCUGGGGUAGAAAUUGAUCGAUCUACCUUAUGGAAGAGAGCUAGACAGGACAAACAUGGUAACAUCCCUGAUCCAAAGGUGGCAGAGAAAGCAAAAUUAAUUGUAAGCCUACUAUCACUCUGUUUUAAAUUUUUAUUAAACUGUGAAUUAUUCUUAUUACGUCGUAUGUUAUAUUUUUCGUCGUGUGAAUGAUAUUACCACGUCGAAAAGUUUUUAAAAACGUCGUUAAAGGUCUAAAUAGGAAUCACUACUAUGUUUUCUGUAAUUACAGCAUAAGACGUCGGUGGUUCAUUUUCGCGUCGUGUGAAUGAUAUUACCACGUCGAAAAUUUUUUAAAAACGUCGUUAACGGUCUAAAUAGGAAUCACUACUCUGUUAUCUUUAAUUAUAGCAUAAGACGUCGGUUGUUUAUUCAUUUCGUCGUUUUAAAUAAAUAACCACGUCGGUAUAACUACCGUCGUGAUAAGUUAUAAUAACGUCGGUUUAUACGUUAUUGCGUCGUGUGAAAUUAUAUAAUACGUCGUUUGUACAUAAAUAACCGUCGUGUGUUUUUUUGUUUAUCUUUUUUUAGGAUGAAUUGCAGAAACAAGUCUCGGAAGGCAAAGUCAGAGUAGAUGGCAGCAAUGAUGUGCUGACCAUGGCUUUGGGCCCCGAGCAUCCAGGCAGACUGAGGGGAGUUGGUGCUGGUGUUUCCCCAAGGCAAUAUUUCAAUUUGCCCAAACCACAGAGGGUGAGCUUUGACGACCGUUUGAAGGACAGUUUAAGAGUUCUCCUUCAAGAAGAGACUAAAAAGAUGGAGGCUAAGGCAAGGGAAGAGGCCUUAAGGAUGGAGGCUAGGACAAAACAAUUGGUAGAGGCUGAGAGGGAGCAUUUCCUGAGUCAGCUUUCCCAAUUAAUUCCCAAUUUUGAUCCAAGCAUGCUUAAACCAAGAAUUAGCCAAAGCCCCAAAAAUCCAAUGUCUGACAAAGCUAGCUGCUCUGGAGGUGAUGUGAGAUCCCUACAUUUGGAGGAUGAUACUGCCAAAAUGGGGAAACAUCAGCCAGAUGAAGAGAAGGAAGAAGAAAAAAGAGAUGAAGAGAAGGAAGAAGAAAAGGAGAAAGAAGAUGAAGAAAAGCAUGACGACAAGGUAUGUUCACAUAACUUUGCCUUUUUUAUUUGUUUUUCAAAAUUUCAGACGUCGAUAUUUUUAUUUAAUCCGUCGUUUGUUUAAAACUUAGACGGCGGAAUUUUUUUAAGACGUAAUAAAAUAUUUAAACGACGGUUUUUGCACCGUCGUUUAAAUGGUUUCAGACGACGCUUUAUUCAUAAAACCGUCGUCUUUAUUGAAUUACCACGACAGUUUUUUCACCGUCGUUUAAAUACUUUUAAGACGACGUUUUAUUACUUAAACCGUCGUCUUUAUUGAAUUACCACGUCAUUUUUUUUAUUUCUUUAAACAGGUUAUUGAAGUUGGUGCUUAUUCAAAAAUGGAGGCGCCAUCUUCUUUAAAAACCCUUUGUCGUUUUGUGGAAACGACACUCCUGCCUGAGGAUAAGACACUCCAAUUUACAAUUGAUAAGGAGGUGUUUGGUGGUGAGCGCGAUACCUUCCUCCUGCCUGAAGAUAUUACACAAUUUGCAGGCAUGGAAGAAAUUGGAGCUACUGUAUUGGCUGUAUAUAUGAGGUUUGUACUUCUAAAAUAAUACCUCGUUGGUUUAUAUAUUGCGUCGUCUUAACUAACUAACCACGUCGUCUUAACUAACUACCGUCGUGAUAAAUAUAUUAUAACGUCCUCAUCUAUUUCAGUACGUCGUGUGAAAUAUUAUAAUACGUCGUUUUUUUAUACAUAACCGUCGUGUUUGUUUGUGCUGACUUGUUUAUAUUAUUUUAUGUAUUUAGGUACUUACACGAUGUUUUGAAACAAGCCAAUAUGUGCAGCAUGGUUGGCUUUAUUGACCCUGCUACAGUUAGUGCCAACUCUGGCACAAUAACUGAAAGAUCACGACUGGUAGCAGCUCGACUUCAGAAGACAGACGGUGAACAGCUUUUCAUGAUGCCUUACAAUCCAGGGUUAGUCUCCUUAGGAUUUUGUUUUUAUGAUUUUCAAUAAAUGACAGCUUAUAAACUAACCACGUCGGUGUUUUAUUUUAUUUAGUCGUUUGAAACUACUAACCACGUCGGUAUUUAUUUGUCGUCGUGAUAAAUAUAUAAUGUUGUCGUUAUCUACUUUAUUUCGUCGUGUGAAAUACUAUAAUACGUCGUUUUUGUAAAUAACCGUCGUUUUUAUAUUAAUUUUGUGCAGCCGUCAUUGGAUCCUGCUGAUUGUAAGAGCAAAGAAGGAGACCGUCUAUUUUCUGGAUCCUCUGCCAGGUCAUCGUGUGGUCGACGAAGAGGCGAAAAACAUCGUGAACAGUGCUUUAAAAAUAUAUAAUACCCACAUAGGCCGAGCAGGACGUAAAAAUGUAAUUUGAAAAACUCUCUCAGGCACACCAAAGCAACCCAGCAAUGUCGAAUGCGGGUAUUAUGUGAUGCGCUUCAUGAGGGACAUCAUCAUGGAUCCUUCCUUGGGGUUUGAGAAUAAGGUAAGAAGAAAUUACCUUCAUACAUUUCACGUCGUUUUUUGUAUUAUCAACGACGGUCAUGUAAAAUUAACGUCGUUGAAUGGAUAUACUACGUCGGUUAUGAAAAAUAUCGUCGUCUGUGAUUGAAUUUCUUUUUAUUUAUAAACCCUAAUAGUCAUUGUUUAUGCAGUAUGCCAAGGGAAACCAGGAAGCUUCAUACCCCCAAGAAGCCAUUGAUGAAGUCCGGAAUGAAUGGGCAGAGUUUGUUUUCCAAAUUAUUAAACAGGGCAAUUAUUGAACACUUGAUAUUUAUGUAUAAUGUACCAAUUUUCUCUAUAAUAUGUAAUGUAAAAAUUUGUUGAGGUUUUCUUAAAUUAAAAAAAAAACAAACAUACAAAUUGCUUAACCGACGUGUAAUACUUUUCCAACGACCUAAUAAAGUCACAAACCGUCGUAUUUUGUUGUUUCGUGUUUUAAACAAUUACGACGUAAAAAAAUAGUUAGACGACGUUCUUUGAACAAUUGAGUCGUUAAUGGUUUACAAUAUCUUCAAUUUCUUAAGGGUUCAGGGUAUAAUCGACGACGUUUAUGUAACGACUGCGGUUAAGUCGUAAAAUAUAUAUUUUACGUCGUAUAGUUAAAUAGCCGCCAUGGUUUUUCAUUUUAACGACGUCAUUUUAACGACUUAGUAGUCUAUUACAAUUUACAACGUCUACAAUUUAUUAACACCGACGUGGUUUGUUGUUGUGGUAAGAAUAUUUUAUUAUUUUUAUAUCAAAAUAUUCAAAAUAAAUUUAAAAUAAAUCAGAAAAUUGAAAAGUCAACUCCUAUGAAGUCAUUGAUAUAUUUUCUUCCACAUAAACCUUGAAAAAAUUCAUUUUGAAUAACAAAAAUUUAAAAUGACCAUCCAAAACAAAAUUGUUUUGAUGACUCAUAAAAUCACUUCUAGUUUUAUGGUUUAGGGUUUAGAGUCUAGGGUUUAGAGAUUAGGGUUGUUAUUUAUUGGGGUUUAUUUUUAAAGUAUAAUUUUUGGGUAGUCUAGGGUAUAUGUUAGGCUUUAAAACCAUAAAACCUUUUAUAAACUUAAUUUUUUAAAUUGUAUAAUUUAAUUUUAUGGGUUUAGGGUAUUAAUUUUUAACGACGGUGGUUGGGUCGUGGAAUACAUAUUUUACGUCGUACAGUAAAACAUACGACAUGGUUUACGCUUUAAACGACGUCAUUUUAAUAUGUAAGUCGGUUUAUAUAAUUUACAACGUCAACGUCUUUAAUUUCUUAACACCGACGUGGUUUUUCAGUCGUCGUUAUAUAAAAAAUUCAAAAUAAAUUUAAAAUUAAUCCGAAAAAUGAACGGCCUUACGUUCUUAAUCCGAAAAAUGAAGUUUCCGUCGUGGAAUAUUAAAUUUACGUCGGUACUUGUAGAACUUUCGCCUUGGUUUUUCUUUCGACGUUUUAAAACGCGCGCGCUCUAAAAAUUUUCGCGCGACCUAAACUUUUUUAGAUUUGGCUCUUAUUCUUAUACUUCGAACCCUGAAACCUAAAANNNNNNNNNNNNNNNNNNNNNNNNNNNNNNNNNNNNNNNNNNNNNNNNNNNNNNNNNNNNNNNNNNNNNNNNNNNNNNNNNNNNNNNNNNNNNNNNNNNNNNNNNNNNNNNNNNNNNNNNNNNNNNNNNNNNNNNNNNNNNNNNNNNNNNNNNNNNNNNNNNNNNNNNNNNNNNNNNNNNNNNNNNNNNNNNNNNNNNNNNNNNNNNNNNNNNNNNNNNNNNNNNNNNNNNNNNNNNNNNNNNNNNNNNNNNNNNNNNNNNNNNNNNNNNNNNNNNNNNNNNNNNNNNNNNNNNNNNNNNNNNNNNNNNNNNNNNNNNNNNNNNNNNNNNNNNNNNNNNNNNNNNNNNNNNNNNNNNNNNNNNNNNNNNNNNNNNNNNNNNNNNNNNNNNNNNNNNNNNNNNNNNNNNNNNNNNNNNNNNNNNNNNNNNNNNNNNNNNNNNNNNNNNNNNNNNNNNNNNNNNNNNNNNNNNNNNNNNNNNNNNNNNNNNNNNNNNNNNNNNNNNNNNNNNNNNNNNNNNNNNNNNNNNNNNNNNNNNNNNNNNNNNNNNNNNNNNNNNNNNNNNNNNNNNNNNNNNNNNNNNNNNNNNNNNNNNNNNNNNNNCUGUUUUUGUUUAAAACCCGUCGUCUCAUGUUGUUUAUACCUUGCGAUUAGAUCAUGUAUAAUCUGCUAUAGUGAUGGUCAUGCCUGUAUUUUCACUUUUAUAUAGAUAAUAGGUUAUAGUGUCGGAGAUGGAUAAGUCAUGGAUGCACUCGGAUAGAAGAUCGAAGGCAUAUGAGUUUGGGGUGGAAGCAUUUUUGAACUUUGCUGUAGAAAAUCUUCUAACUACAACACAUAUCCGUUGUCCAUGUGUUAAAUGUGUUAAUUUGAAGUUGUUUGGGGUUGGAAUUAUAAGGGAUCACUUAUACUUUAAUGGAAUUGACCAAAGCUAUAAGAAUUGGACAUUUCACGGAGAACCUUGGGAAGCAACUACUAAUGCUAGCAGAAAUGUUGAAGAAGAUGAUGGCCAUAGUAGGUACAGUUUUGUGUCUGAAGAAAUUGAUAUGGAUGAUAAUGAUUUUGGUGAUUUUGGUUCGGAUCCGUAUGAGUUUGCCAAUGUGAUUGGGGAUGGAGAUCAACCAGUGUACCCUGGUUGUAGAAAGUACACGAAGUUAUCGGCAUUAGUGAAGUUGUAUAAUUUGAAGGCAAAACAUGGGAUGAGUGAUGUCUGUUUUACAGAAUUAUUGAUACUUCAAGGCGAUUUGCUUCCAGAAGGAAAUACAAUACCAACCUCCAUGUAUGAGGCUAAAAAGACUUUGUGUGCAUUGGGGCUGAGUUAUGAGAAAAUGCACGCAUGCCCCAAUGAUUGCAUCUUGUAUAGGAAGGAGUAUGAGGAUUCAACUAAUUGUCCUACUUGUGGUAUCUCAAGGUGGAAGGAAGGCAAAGAUGCAAUCUUGAAAGAGGGUGUGCCAGCGAAGGUGGUGUGGUAUUUUCCCCCAAUUCCAAGGUUUAAAAGGAUGUUUCAAUCACAUGAGACAGCUAAGAGUUUGACUUGGUGGCAUGUUGCUAGAAAAUCAAUUGACGGUCAGAUGUCUCAUCCGGCGGAUUCCCCGUCUUGGAAACUUCUUGAUGAUAAAUGGCCUGAGUUUGGUAAUGAGCCGAGAAACUUGAGAUUGGCUCUUUCAUCUGAUGGAUUCAAUCCCCACAGUUCUCUAAGUAGCAGAUAUAGUUGUUGGCCGGUUAUCUUAGUUACAUAUAAUCUCCCUCCAUGGCUGUGCAUGAAACGAAAGUUCAUGAUGUUAACCUUAUUGAUUUCCGAUCCUAAACAACCCGGAAAUGAUAUAGACGUCUACUUGGAGCCUUUGAUUGAUGAUUUAAAAUCCUUGUGGGUUGGGAUUAGAGGAGUGUAUGAUGCACAUAAUGGAGAAUACUUUACACUCAGAGCUGCAUUAAUGUGGACAAUUAAUGAUUUCCCCGCCUAUGGAAACUUAUCUGGUUGUGUUGUUAAAGGAUAUAAAGCUUGUCCAAUAUGCGGCGAUGAUACACCUAGUCAAACAAAUAUUUUUUGUUGACGACCCGAUGCAUCGUGGUUGGUCGUGUAGGCGUGUGAGUGUGUGUUUGUGUUUGUUUUUGUGUGUGUGUGUGUGUGUGUGUGUGGUGUGUGUGUGUGUGUGUGUACCAUUACUNNNNNNNNNNNNNNNNNNNNNNNNNNNNNNNNNNNNNNNNNNNNNNNNNNNNNNNNNNNNNNNNNNNNNNNNNNNNNNNNNNNNNNNNNNNNNNNNNNNNAUGUAAUUGGCAGUGUAUGACAUUAAUUUUGUAAUAUAUUGUAAUGUGAUUUCUUCACUUUCUACGUUCAAAUAAAACACGACGUUAUUGUGAAUCAGUUAUUCAGCAUAUUUACCGACGUCUUAAAGCAACGUAACAAUGAAGAACCACGACGCUAUUGUGAAGCAAUUAUUCAGGAUAUCACGUCGGUGAAGGAUAAAGAACCGCCAUGUAAUUCAAAAUAACACGACUCCAAUCCCAUAAUACCGACGUCUAAAAAACGAGAUAUGUAAUCUGAACGUUAAAAAAUACGACGUCAUCAUACAUUUUCCACGUCGCAAGUUCUUUUAUAAACGAAGAGGAACGAAAUUAAUUCCGACGGAAAUUCAUUAUAACCGCCGUCUAAUAACAAUUAAACGACGUUAUUUGUAAUACGGCUCCCAUCAUAAUCUACGCCGUCUAUAUGUUCUGUAAUACGGCUCUCAUUUAUUUGGAACCGACGUUGUUUAGACGUUCAACGUCGUCUAUAUUAUUAAGUGCGUCGUGAGUAAUGAAUACAUAUAAAUACAACGUCGACUAUAUAAAUGUAUACGUCGUAAAUAAUGACACUGACAACUAUUUCCACGUCAUCUUUUUUAGAUAAAAUCGAAGUGGAAAAUUUAUUUCACGACGGUUUUUUGUAAAUAAGAGACGUUGUAGAACUUUAGCAGACUAAACACGUCUGUUUUUAUUGUUUUCCGACGUUGUUGUAUUUAACAACGUCUAAUAUUUAUGGUCGUUGUUUGUUUCUGAAAAUAGGACGUAUAAAUUUUUUAAUACGACUCUCAUAUAUUUGUAACUGACGUUGUUUAGUUUUUCAACGUCUACUAUAGAAACACAUACGUCGUAAAUAAUGACACUGACAACUAUUUCCACGUCAUCUUUUAUCAAAAAAUCGAAGUGGAAAAUUAAUUGUACGACGGUUGUGUUUAUAUGUGCGACGUAGUAGGUAUCAAUAACAUCGUCUUCUAAUGUAUUUAAAGACGUCAUAUUUUUUAUUGUCGUGAAAAUUAUAUUUAACGUCGGCGUAUUUUUAUUGUCGUCGUUGUAUGUCUAUCUUGCGGCCUUGUUCUCUUAAUAUGUGUCAUAUUUUCCCUUUUUAACGACGGUCUUUUUAGAGAAUUGGUCGUCUAUUAUCAUCAUCGAUUGCUUUUUUUAGAUCUUUUUGCAGUACAAAGACGUCGUUUUGUAUUUUUUGAUGACGUUGUAUUGUUUAACAACGACGGUUAUUUAGCGUCGUGGUUUAUGAGGGAAAAGAUGACGGUGGAUUCCACGACCAUUGAAAAACCAAAUACACGACGGUGAUUUACCGUCGUCUUUUUGCUUUUUUGUAGUAGUGAUCGGAAACUUGACUAAUUAGAAUACAACAUAUGUCGAAAUAUUUUUAUCAUAAAUGGUCUCUAAGGUUCGUGAAAUUAUUAGCUUUAGUCCUUCAUGUUUUUUUGUGACAUCAUUGGUCCUUUAUGUUACUCCUCUUCACACAUCAAUUUGGUUCUGCCGUUUGGAUUCGUCAAAAUUUAUGUUAAAUUGAUGGCAUGACAUGUAUAUGGUGCCUACAUAUCCAAUGAGAUAAUGACCCGUGGAUCUAAGUAAAAAAUUUGUUUUAAAAAAAUAGUUUCAUAUUUAAAAUUUUUAAAGGGCGAAGACUCAUUGGGUAACUCGAAGUUUGGGUUGUUGAAGCCUUCAAGCAUGGUUUUGCUCACAAAAGAUUGGAACGCAAUGUGUUGGGUUGAGCACUGAAAACCAAAGAAUAUCAAAAAUGUAGUAGGGGGGAGAGAGAGAGAGAGANNNNNNNNNNNNNNNNNNNNNNNNNNNNNNNNNNNNNNNNNNNNNNNNNNNNNNNNNNNNNNNNNNNNNNNNNNNNNNNNNNNNNNNNNNNNNNNNNNNNACCUCAUGUCAGCACUUAAUAGAAAAUUUGACGGACCCUAACGGCAUGGAUCAAAUUGAUGUGUGGUGUGUAACAAAAAGGAUCAAUAAUGUCACAAAAAACAUAAAGGACCAAAGUUGAUAAUUUUGCGAACCUUAUACACCAUUUAUGAUAAAAACCCUAUAUUGUAUAAUUUUAGUGUGUUUUUUUCUUAAAUGCUAUUGAGAAGAGAUUUUAUAAAACUGCUAUAUAAAAGGUUCACCACAAUGCUAUAAAACAAUAGUAGAUUAUGGCUCUCAGAUGUUUUCAUCUUCUUAUUCAUCCAAGCAGAUCGAUAACAUAUGGUCACUACUGACUUUUUCUUGUAGUUCUCAACAUCCAUCUUUCAAGCCAUCAACCAAGUUGUUGCAUUGCUCCUCACUGUUAGAAAAGCCUCGUUUCCCUCCUCCUCCUCCAUUGAUUGAAGGAGAGACAACAAAAGCAACUUAUGAAACAAGCCCCUCAUUUCCUUGUUAAACAUAAAUCGACCCAUUAUUGAUGAGGACUGAGAAUCUAAGAGCACACUAGUAAUUAACCUGAGUGGGGAAUAUGGAUGAUGGAUCUCUCUCUCUCUCUCUCUCUCUUGAAAAAAUCAACUUCAUUAUCCUUGGUGAAUUUGUUCUGAAUUAGUCGUGUCCAGCUACAAGCAAUACUGUACGUAGUAUAUUAUUCUCUGCAUUUGUGCAUGCCAACAACAAACAAAUAUUAUUCUCUAUUAUAGCAUAUAGGCCGUCAUUUUCAAUCCUUAUAAGAGAAAACUUGCUUCGCCAUAAGAGUACGUAGCUUGGCAAGCAAGGUAAGGGUACUUCAAAAGAUUCCUUCCAUCAUCUAUAUAAGACACAUGUGACAUUGCAUGUCUCAUCAAUCAUGUUAAGAUAAAGCUAGCUGGCAAGGCAAAUUACCAACCUUUAUGCUCGAGUAUAUUAUUCCAAGCAGAUAUAAAUGUUAAUAUAUGUGAAGAAUAUUAUGAUCAAUAUAGAAUAUGUAUCAUGAUCAGUUAUGGUAUCGACUGUCAGAAAAUAUCAUCCGCAUAUGUGCAUACCAACAUUAUCGAAAGACAGUAGGAGUAUCGUCAUAUCCGAUACAAGUAUCGGAGCAUGGGUAAGAGUAUAUAUACAAGCAUACCCGUCCAAUUAGGAGAAUCAGUGCAACAUAGAUGAAAAGAAAUUAGAUGUGAUUUCACAUAUUUUUAAAGAAUAGGGGAAAUAAACCAAUUAAUCUCUUUUGUCUUCUCCAUACAUUUUUGGUUGUGAAUUUUGGUUUUCGAAGAAUUUGGCAUUUCAAGCAACUUGGAAAACAUUUUGAUGAUCCAUUGAACCUUGUUAAAGUCGAUAUUCAAUCUCUAUGGACUUUGGCCGAAAUGUCUCAUUUCAAUUGGAAAGUGACAUUGAGAUUUGAAAAGACUAGACAUUAAGGUGGCAAGAGAAGUCUAAAAGGAUCAAACAGAAAAAAAUAAUGAAAAAUUGAAAAUAACCUAGAAAGGGGAGAAAAAAUUAGUUGCAAUAGGGAUAAUAAUGUUUGAGUAAUGCUAAACGAACUCUAAAAUUAACUUAGUACACCCUACUAUCAAACUAUUUAUUGAAUUACUAAUUUACCCUAAUAUAAAAUGACCAAAAAGGAUAUAUUGAAUUGUGCAGCAAAUGUAAUUUUAAUAAGUACACAUUACUCACCAUAUUCAACCCUAAUAUUCGAUGGAGGCGACAUUGAAUGCUAUGAAUCCAACCCAAACCCACCACCACCGUCCCUCUCUCUCUCUCUCUCUCUCUCUCUCUCUCUCUCUCUCUCUCUCUCACAAAUUAUCUUAUUUGCUCUAAAUUUUUUGCAAUGAGUCAGAAUCUUCUAUGUGUAUGUGGCAUUCGUUCAUUAGACUUGGUUAAUGCAUUCAACCCACCCAAAACAAUAAUCAUUUGAUGUUCAUCCUCGAUGUUGGUGGUUUCAAGUGAGCAUGUUCCCAAACGGCUCUUACACUUGCCCACUAGAACUCCAGCUCCUCACCCUCUGAUGAAUCUAAUGACAAUUAUGUUGUUGUUUGCACCAUAAACACCAACUUCCAACAACUCCAAUACAACCUAUUUCUUCUUAAUUAGAUACCUUGGGGGUUGAUAGCAACCUCAAUAGUCUAAGAAACAAACCCACUUCGGAAUUUUCCUUCUUCCACUAGUUGAAGGGAGAUGGGUUCCAACACGAUAUUACGCGCUUAUUAGAAUCUUAUACUCGUCGAGUCUGGGUUGGCUGGUGAUAAGCAGGGGAAGGGUGGAGUUGGGUUGUGUUAGAGAGAGAGAGAGAGAGAGAGAGAGAGAGAGAGAGAGAGAGAAAGAGAAAGAGAGAGAGAAGGGCGGUAGUGGUUGGGUUGGGUUGGAUGCGAAAGGGCUUAAAUCAGAGGAGGAAGGACGGGUUUGGCUGGGUGGGUGACAGGACCCGACCCAAUUUCCGCUUUGGAAUCCGAGCUGAAUCCUGUGCGUGUCCGACACCUGGCGAAUGUCGGGCACGAAUGACCUUUUUACCCUUCUCUUUUCAAAUUCUUUUUUUUUUUAAACUUCCCUUAGACUUCUACCGAAAAUUCGACAGAGUCUCCCCUGUAUUUUGACCAAACCCAAAGUCUUCCACCUGUCAAACAGUCUCAAAUAACACACCAACUACCAGACUAACUCAACCAACAGAUCUCAACUCCAGUUUCUCAUGUUCAACAAGAUAUCAAAGCAUUUCUAUACAAAUUUACAGAACUAUGAGAAAGUUACAACGAGAUCCUACACUUUGGGGGUGGGGCGAAAGCUGGGAAGAUGGCCCGAGUGGUUUCCUUCGUACUUCUAUGGCCUGGGGGCGAAAAACAAGGUUAAAAUUGUGAGUGGACAAAAAUAAAAUUCUUUAAAACAAAAACAAGUUAGAACAUAAUAACCCCCGUUUUGAAAUACUAGGGAUAUAAAUCGUUAAUUUAGCUAUAUUUCAAUAUAAGGAAUUCAAUAAACAUGAAUAAAUAUACUGACGAAUAAACUUGCAUAACUGAUCAAAUAUAUAUAAAGAUAAUAACGCAUGAAUAUCAAGAAACUGGUAUAAAAUCACGGGAAAUCAUAACUGGAUAAAAGAGCUCAAAAUCCUUUGAAACUACCACCUAGAUGUACCCCUGUCAUAUCCGUCAAUUCCCCUGGCAGGUCUCGGGCGUCACGCAGUCUACCCGAGCCGCAAACUGGCGAAAUCAAGGGACUAUGAUCAGCCUGAUCCGCCGGCAGGUCUCGAUGACACCAAGUCGACUCGAGCCGCUCUGGCAGGAUGCAGGGGACCGCAGUCAGCCUGAUCCGCAAUCCUGGCAGGUCUCGGGGACACAGAGUCAGCCGAGCCGCAAAUCCUGGCAGGUCUCGGGACACCAAGUCUGCCGAGCCGCAAAUUCUGGCACUCACGGUCCGAGCGUCCCCGAAACUCGUGAGGCAAAGUCAAGUGCACUGACGUAACUGAAAUCAGACUGGAUGUUCGUAGACAUCGGUCCGACUGUGGGUAAUCACCAUAAAUAGAUGGGUACAUGGUGGUUUAACAAGAAAUUCUGAUAACUCUCUGAAAUCUGAUAAGUCUGAACUAAAUUACUAUCUUUGUAUCAAAAGUCUCAAGUUUACUGCUCAACCAAUAUUAUAAAAAUAAAGAUAUUUCACAAUGCAAAUCAUGCUUCGAAAUUACGUAAUAACACUUAUUCAAGAUCAAAUAGAAAAUAUAAUUAUAAAAUCUUUUAGGAAAGAAAAGUCCACUCACUGUUGGUCCGAGCUAUCUGGACCCUUCGAAGAUCCCUCAUGUGGGUCAACUGGACCUCUGGUGCCUUACUCGAUUGAUUUGGUGGAGAAUUGAAGGAGAACGAAGGAGAUGAAGUUUGGAUGAAAAACAGGCGGAAAUCGCCAGUUUCCGGCCAAUUCCCGGCGGUCCAAGGCCGGCGACGGGUCGAGGAAGGGAGGCGGCGGCGAGGCGGACCGAUUGACACCAACGGCGGAGGUCGCCGUGCCCUGUAGCGACGGCACGCUCGAUCUGAAACAGGGAGGGGGGCGGCGGUUGCGACGGGAGAGAGAGAGAGAGAGGAGAGAGAAAUGAGGAGAGAGAAGAGAGAAGGAAGAGAUAAAAUCUGACUUUUUUUUCAAAUUACCGUUUUGCCCUUCGAGGUAAUUUAAUCGUAUCUUCUUCAUUACAAUUCCAAUUCGGGUCUACUCCGUGUCUACGGACUCGUUUCGCCGUGCUCUACGCAACGGCGCAAGCGAAAUUCUCAAAUUCUUUCUUGAUCAAAAAGUCAAAUUUUCCCCUAUUAAAAUAUGCGAGGGCAAAAUCGUCUUUUGGGUAGAAUAAAGAAAUCCUAAUUUUUAGAUAUUUUAGUUUGGGUUAUUACAGUGGGGGGUGGAGAGAUGAUGGGAGGUCGAUUUAACAGGGUUAAGUGUUGUUAAGUGGUUUACCACAUGUCAAAAAAAUAGAAGGAAAACAUGUCGGGCACAUGGCAUUUGGUAACAGUAAAAUUGGACUCAUGAAUGAGUUAGGUGUUGUGUGAUAGAGUGUAUUAGGGUGUACCAUGGGUAUUUUUAGUAGUUAAAUAGGAUGUACUGAGUUAAUUUUAUAAUUUGAUUUAAAUAUUAGGGUAUACUUAGAUCAUAGGGUGUACUCAGUUAAUUUUAAGGUUUGUUUAGCAACAUUCUAAUGUUUUGUUAUCCCCGGUCAAUAAUUUUAUAUCGUGUGGCUUAGAAGGAGGCCUGUUAUCCAACUCAUCUGGUCCACCGUCCAUGAUAUGAACCCGACUUGAGAAUCUUUUGGUGAAGUAGAACAACCCAACUUGAGAGUUGAGGCAGCCAAACUAGAAGGGAAGCAUCCCCACUCCAGUCCCGCUCCCCAUGUGCCCAAUACUUUGCUUGUUUACUUCACCUUUUAAACCUUUUAGGAUUUUCCAUAGGCUAAGAGGAAAACAACAACAUUACGGCCCAGUUUACGAAUGGAUUCGAGGGGAAAUUACUUCCCAUGCCAUUUUUUAAGGGAUGGAAAAUGGAGAUUCAUUUCCCAUAUUUGAUAAUCCUAGGAAAGUAACUAAGAAAUACUACUUUAUUUCCUUUCACAUAUUUGGUUUGUGUAGGAAUGUAAAACAAAGUUAGUUUAAUUUUUCAAUUAUAUCCAUAUGAAAUUAAAUUUUAAAAAAAAUGUAUUUAAUGCUAUAUUGUUAAUGGGGACAAUAUGGUCAUGAAAAAUGUGUAUUUAAUGUUGGCUAAUUUUCUCAAACUUUCUCAUGUGCAAGACAACGAUUUCUCAUGCCUAGACUUACCAAAUAUGGGAAAGCAAUUGAUUUCUCAUCACCAAGCCUCCUUUCCCAUGAACCAAACAGGACCUACAAGUUAUUAGCUUCAAGCCUUCAAGGAUUUUCAUAACAAAUCUUCCAAUCUCACACAAAAAUAAAAAAGCAUCCAUGUAUGUAAUUUCUAGAUUAAAAUCUCACUUUUUAGGCAUUCCAUUUUCUUAGGAUUAGGUAUUACUACGCACGGACAAUCUUACGAUUAUCUGCAAUUCAUCCUUCAAUAGCUAUGGACGUUAUAUCAAAUCAACAAUAAGACGUACAUUUCUUCAAAGAACUAAAUCAUGCGGAUGUCAACUUGCUCUCACUUAUAUGUUUGUCUCUCCAUAUGAGGAAGGGUGUUUAGCUUAAGGUUUUAGGGCGCGGUUGUCUAAGAACAAUAAGGUGAACAUGUUUUGUCAAAGUACAUGGGAGACCUUUAUCUUCAAACACAAAAAAUGGCCAAAAUUAAAUUAGCAAGGAUCGACAUAUGGAUGUGAGCUUUUACACAUUGCCACUAAUUCUCUCCAUACUUUUGUUGAAAUCAUUUACAAAAUAAGAAAACUUUAGUAAUUGAAGCGAAAGAGAAGAAUUACCAGAACAGAAAAUAAGAAAAAAGAAGCACCUAACCCAAACUUUAAGUCACGAAUUUAACAGUUUACUUUUUAAAAAAAGUAAGUUACAAAACAAUCCCCUUAUUGAUGAGGAUUGAGAAUUUAAGAGCACUAAUAACUUGAGUGAGGAAUAUUGCACAUGGACGAUGGAUCUCUCUCUCUCUCUUUGAAAAAAAAGAAAAAAGAAACAAAAAUCAACUUCAUUAUCCUUAGUGAAUUUGUUCUGGAUUAGUUGUGUUGCAAUGGAACAUCGAACCUACCUAGCUAAAAGGAAAAAAGAAAGGCCACUACGACAGUACUGCAGUAUAUUAUUCCAAGAAGACAAAUGUAAACUAUAUACGUGAAGAAUAUCUAUUAUUGGUCGUCAUUUUCAAUCCUCAUAAAAGAAAACUUACUUCGCCAUAAUUUCAGGUUGUUCUCAAGGCAGGAAGGUAAGGACACUUGAAAAGAUUCCUUCUCAUCAUCUAUACAAGGAAAUGUGUUCUCAUCAAGCUAGGGGACAAGGCAAAUUAGCAACCUUUAUACUCGAUAUAUUAUUCCAAGCAGAUAUACAUGUGAAGAAUAUUAUGAUCUUGAUCAAUAUGGAAUCAGUGGGUGUAUCGAUCGACCAUCCAAAGAAAAAGGAUAUCCUCUGCAUAUAUGUGUGCAUGCCAACAACUAUAAAAGGAGACCAUGAGGCAAUGAGUUGAUCAUCAAAGCAAACACACAGAUAUCCCAACUAAAAAUCAUUCAGUGAGACAAUGGCUGGAACCAAUGAUAUUAAAAUUAAAGGGUUCGAUUUGAGCAAAAACAGCGGCAACACGUCCGGAUUAACCCACUUCGCCAACAGAGCUGACGAGGGCGACAAGGGCGACAAUAAAAUCGAGGUUGAGGAUGCUAAAGCGCAAGAUAACAAGGGAAACUUGAAAGUACUGACCGACUUCGCCCAACGUGGUAAGGUGGGCCAGUCGGAUCGCCAAGAAAUCACGGGGAGCAAGCCACUUCAGACGGCAGCAUGAAAUUGAUGAAGGCCAUACCAUAAUAAAAUAUCUACACUAAAAUAAGAGCUGAUGCAGUAUCUGAGGCUCCUUCCUUGGUUAGGCCUCAUUAUCAUGUGCAAUACUAAUAUUAUUAUUCUAAUAAAAUAAUGGUAGCUUAUUAUUAAAUAUAUCAAAAUUCUAUACGUAUAACUUUUAGAUUAUUGAUACUGAUGACAUACCAACAAGAGAAAACGAUUCAAAAGUCCUUUCUCCAAUUCGUGAUGUUACAAAAUGAGACGUCAAAUUUAAAAAUAUAGUUGCAUACGAGUAUAAACUGAACCAAUAAGCAAUGUAUGAGUGACCAAAGGUCUCAAACGAUGCAUUUAAGAAGAAGGGUACUAAAUUAAAAGAUGUACGCCAGUGAACUAUGGCAAUCUCUCGUUGCAUGCACGCAUAUGCAAUUGAAGAAGACCUAACUUAUAUCACGAAGAAGUGGAUGGGUCUUUACAUAUGAAGUUUUUAAAAUUAACACUACCGGAAGACAAUAGGAGUAUCGGCGUAUCUGAUACAAGUAUCGGAGUCUCGGAGUAUUAGAUUUGAGCAUACCUGUCCAAAUAGGAGUAUCGGUGCAACAUAGAUGAAAAGGAAUUGGAUGUGAUUUCACAUAUUUUUAAAGAACAGGGGAAAUAAACCAAUUAAUCUCUUUCGUCUUGUCCACACAUUUCUUGUUGCAAAUUUUGGUUUUCAAAAAAUUUGGCAUUUCAAGCAACUUGGAAAACAUUUUGAUGAUCCAUUAUUGAACCUCUAAAGUCGAUAUUCAAUCCCUAUCGACCUUGCUCAAAAAAUGUCUCAUUUCAAUUAGUGCAGAGAAAAAUAAAGGCAGAGUUGAAAAUAGAUUUUUCAGUUUGGAAAGUGACAUUGAGAUGUAAAAAGACUAGACAUUAAGGUGGCAAGAGAGAUCUAACAGGAUCAGACAAAAAAGGAAAAAAAAAUGAAUGAAAAAUAGAAAAUGCCCUAGAAAGGGGAGAACAACUUAGUUGCAAUGGGGAUAACAAUAUCUUGCUAUUACUGGUCAAUAAUUUUAUACCACGUGGCCUAGAAGGAGGCCUGUUAGUCCAACUCAUCUGGUCCACUUCCCAUUAUAUGAACCCGACUUGAGAGUUUUGGUUUUUUGGUUGAAGUAGAACAACCCGACUUGAGAAUUGAGGCAGCCAAACUAGAAGGGAAGCAGCCCACUCCACUCCCGCUCCCCAUGUGCCCAGUACUUCGCUUGUUUACUUCACCUUUUAAACCUUUUAGGAUUUUUUUUAUAGGAUAAGAGGAAAACGACGACAUUACAAGUUAUUACGCAUCAACGUAUGUAAUUUCUAGAUUAAAAUCUCACUUUUUACGCAUGUCAUUAUCUUAGGAUUAUGUAUUACUACGCACUGACAAUCUUACGAUUAUCUGCAAUUCAUCCUUCAAUGACCAAAGACGUUAUAUCAAAUCAACAAUAAGACAUACAUUUCUCCAAAUAACUAAAUUAUGUGGAUUUCAACUUGCUCUCAUUUAUAUGUUUGUCUCUCUCCUCCUAUUGAUUAGCCUCUCCAUAAGAGCAAAUAUGAAAAAAGAAGCUCCCAAUCCGAACUUUAAGUCACAAGUUUAACAGUUUACUUUUAAACAAAAGCAAGUUACGAAACAAUCCCCUGAUUUCCUUGUUAAACAUCAACCGACCCAUUAUUGAUGAGGAUUGAGAAUCUAAGAGCAUAUGGACGAUGGAUCUCUCUCUCUUUUUGAAAACAAAAACAAAAACAAAAAACAAAAAUCAACUUCAUUAUCCUUGGUGAAUUUGUUCUGGAUUAGUUGUUUUGAAUUAGUACAGCUUACGUACGCAAUGGAACAUCGAACUUAGCUAGCUAAAAGGAAAAAAGAAAGGCCACUACUACAGUACCGCAGUAUAUUAUUCCAAGAAGACAAAUGUAAACUAUAUACGUGAAGAAUCUCUAGUAUUGGUCGUCAUUUUCAAUCCUUAUAAAAGAAAGCUUGCUUCGCCAUAAUUUCAGGUUGUUCUCAAGGCAGGCAGAGAGAGUACGUAGCUUGGCAAGAAAGGUAAGGGCACUUCAAAAGAUUGUUUCUCAUCAUCUAUAUGAGGAAAUGUGUUGCCAUCAAGCUAGCGGACAAGGCAAAUUAGCAACCUUUAUACUCGAUAUAUUAUUCCAAGCAGAUAUACAUGUAAAUAUAUGUGAAGAAUAUUAUGAUCAUGAUCAAUAUAGAAUCUGUAUCAUGAUCAGAGGGUAUCGAUCCAGCAUCCAAAGAAAAAGGAUAUACUCUGCAUAUGUGCAUGCCAACAACUAUAAAAGGAGACCAUGAGGCAAUGAGUCGAUCAUCAACGGAAACACACAGAUAUCCCAACUAAAAAUCCAUCGUGAGACAAUGGCUGGAACCAAUGAUAUUAAAAUUAAGGGGUUUGAUUUGAGCAACAACAAAGGCAACACGUCGGGAUUAACCCACUUCGCCAACAGAGCUGACGGGGGCGACAAUGGCAACAAUAAAAUCGAGGUUGAGGAUGCUAAAGGGCAAGGGAACACGGGAAACUUGAAAGUACUGACCGACUUCGCCCAACGCGGUAAAGUGGGCCAGUCGGAUCGCCAAGAACUACUCAAACCUCAGGCAUGAAAUUGAAGAAGGCCAGACCACAACAACUUGUCUGCUUGAUAGAUAUAUGUGCUAAAUUAUCUACACAAAAAUAAGAGCUGAUGUUUUAUCUGAGGCUCCUUCCUUGGUUAGGCCUCGUUAUCAUGUGUAAUAUUAAUAUUAUUAUUCUAAUAAAAUAAUGGUAGCUUAUUAUUAAAUAUAUCAAAAUUCUAUACGUAUAACUUUUAGAUUAUUGAUACUGAUGUCAACAAGAGAAAAUGAUUAAAAAGUCCUUUCUCCAAUUCGUGAUGUUACAAAAUGAGACUUCAAAUUUUAAAACUAUAGUUGCAUACGAGUACAAAACUGAACCAAACAAUGUAUGGGCCAGAGUGACCAAGGAUGUACGCCAGUGAACUAAUGGCAAUCUCUCGUUGCAUGCACGCAUAUGCAAUUGAAGGAGGCAUUAUCUGAGGCUCCUUCCUUGGCUAGGCCUCAUUUUCAAUUUUGAUUUCAACUUUGAUUUUGCUUAAACUUUGAUUUUGAGCUAGACUGUGAUUUCGACUUUGAUCUCCCAAUUCGUGCCUUAAGAAUCAGUUUCUCCCAACUCUAUUUACCAAAACCGAAAACUCUGAACUUUUCAAUUCGUCUGGCUACUCUCAGGGUUUCAUGCCUUAGUUUCCUCUCGCCAAAAAGCCAAAAAGACUUGGCUUUCAUGUAAUGCUAUACUCCUCGAUUGAACAAGCCGCGUCUUCAAAUUCAGCUUUCUCACUUCCUUUCUCUUUACUUUCUUUCUUUUGUUUUCCGGCUGGGAAAAUCAUGGAAGCAUUACAAAUUUAAGAGAAUAUUCUAGUAUUAGGGUCCAAACUGUACUAUUUAGGUAUUUUCAUUCUGAUUAAGAGUUCUUUUCUAGAAAUUUGGGGAAGAAAAAAUAGAGUUUCUGUUUUAGUGUUUGAUUUUCAUUACAGUGAAUUAUGUGAAACCGAAAUGUUUCUUGUCUGAUUUCAUCACUGCUUUCAAAUUGCAAAUUAAGGAUUUGAAGGUUAACAAUGCCCGUCUUUAACAAUGUCGCAUUUCAAUUAGUACAAAAGAAAAAUAAAGGCAUAGUUGAAAAUAGAUUUUUCAGUUUCGAAAGUGACAUUGAGAUUUAAAAAGACUAGACAUUAAGAUGGCAAGAGAGAUCUAAAAGGAUCAAACAAAAAAAGUGAAUGAAAAAUUGAAAAUGCCCUAGAAAGGGAGGAAAUCUUAGUUGCAAUGGGGAUAACAAUGUUUUGCUAUCCUCGAACAAUAAUUUUACACCACGUGACCUAGAAGGAGGCAUGUUAAUCUAACUCAUCUGGUCCACCGUCCAUGAUAUGAACCCGACUUGUGAGUUUUUUUUUUUUUUUGUUGAAGUAGAACAACCAAACUUGAGAGUUGAUGUCACAUCUCAGGAUCGGCUUCACCGUAGCACGAUAUUGUCUGCUUUGGGCCCCCUCGCUGUCCUCGCGGUUUUGUUUCUAGGAGCUCACGAGCAACUUCUCAGUUGGUCACUCAUCUUAGGAUUGCUCUGGCCCAAACUCACUUAACUUCGGAGUUCUCAUGACUCCGAAGCUAGUGAGCUCCUAAAAGGCCUCGUACUAAAUGGAAGUGGGCAUAUAUAUAUAAGGCACAACACCCCAUCUUCGUUGGUUGAUGUGGAAUGUUACAAUCCACCCCCCUUAGAGGUCUGACUUCCUCGUCGGCACACUCUCACCACACGGCAGAGUGGCUCUGAUACCAAACUGUCACAUCCCGGGAACGGCUCCGUCGUAGCACGAUAUUGUCCGCAUUGGGCCAACCUUUCUGCCCUCACGGUUUUGUUACUGGGAGCUCACGAGCAACUUCCCAGUGAAUCACUCAUCCUGGGAUUGCUCUAGCCCAAACUCGCUUCACUUCGGAGUUCCUAUGACUCCGAAGCCAAUUAGCUCCCAAAAGACCUCGUGCUAGAUAAAGGUGGGCACGUACAUAUAAGGCACAUCACCUUCUCUUCGUUGAUCGAUGUGGGAUGUUACAGUUGAGGGCUCCGUUGGUCGAUGUAGGAUGUUACAGUUGAGGCAGCCAAACUAGAAGGGAAGCAACCCAACUCCACUCCCUCUCCCCAUGUGCCCAGUUCUCUGCUCGUUUACUUCACCUUUUAAACAUUUUAGGAUUUUCCAUAAGCAAAGAGGAGAACGACCACAUUACGGUCUCGUUUGGUUCACGAACAGAUUUAAGGGGAAAUAACUUCUCAUGUCAUUUCUCAAGGGAUGAGAAAUGGAGAUUCAUUUCCCAUAUUUGGUAAUCCUAGGAAAAUAACAAAGAAAUACCACUUUAUUUCCUUUCACAUGUUUGGUUUGUCUAGGAAUGUAAAACAAAGUUUGUUUAAUUUUCCAAUUAUACCGAUAUGAAAUCAAAUAAAAAAAGAAUAUUUAAUGUUAUAUUGUAAUUCUAAACUGUUAAUAGGGACAAUAUGAUCAUGAAAAAUGUGUAUUUAAUGUUGGCUCAUUUGCUUAUUUUCCCAAACUUUCACAUGAGGAGGAAAACAAAACCCAAGGGGGGAGGAUGGCUUCACUUUCCCCUCUACUUUCCCAUGUACAAGGCAACGAUUUCUCAAGUCUGGACUUACCAUACAUGGGAAAGAAAUUAAUUUCUCAUCCCCAAGUCAUUUUUCCCAUAAACCAAACGGAGCCUACAGGUUAUAAGCUUCAACCUUUAAGGAUUUUCAUAACAAAUCUUGCAAUCUCAUACCAAGGAAAUAAAAAUAAAAAAAAGGAUCCAUGCGUGUAAUUUCUAGAUUAAAAUCUCACUUUUUACGCAUGCCAUUAUCUAAGGAUUAGGUAUGACUACACACGAACAAUCUUACAAUUAUCUGCAAUUCGUCCUUCAAUGGCCAAAGACGUUAUAUCAAAUGAACAAUAAGACGUACAUUUCUUCAAAGAACUAAAUUAUGUGGAUUUCAACUUGCUCUCACUUAUAUGUUUCUCUCUCUCCUCCUAUUGUUUAGCUUAAGGUUUUAGGGCGUGGUUGUCUAAGAACAAUAAGGUAAACAUGCUUACAAAAAAAGAUGGACAGCAAGGAUGGACAUAUGCGAAUGUGAGCUUUUACACAUUGCCACUAAUUUUCUCCAUGAUUUUGUUGAAAUCAUUAACAAAAUAAGAAACUUUAGUAAUUGAAGCGAAAGAGACUAAUUAUCAGAAGAGAAAAUAUGAAAAAAGAAGCUCCCAAUCCAAACUUUAAGUCACAAGUUUAACAGUUUACUUUAAAACAAAAGCAAGUUACGAAACAAUCCCCUGAUUUCCUUGUUAAACAUCAACCGACCCAUUAUUGAUGAGGAUUGAGAAUCUAAGAGCAUAUGGACGAUGGAUCUCUCUCUCUUUUUGAAAACAAAAACAAAAACAAAAAUCAACUUCAUUAUCCUUAGUGAAUUUGUUCGGGAUUAGUUGUGUUGAAUUAGUACAGCUUACUUACGCAAUCGAAUAUCAAACCUAGCUAGCUAAAAAGAGAAAAAGAAAGGCCACAACGACAGUACUGUAGUAUACGUGAAGAAUCUUAUGAUCUAUAAUAUUCUGUAUUAUUGGCCAUCAUUUUCAAUCCUUAUUAAAGAAAACUUGCUUCGCCAUAAUUUCAAGUUGUUCUGAAGGCAGGCAUAGAGAGCACGUAGCUUGGCAAGGGAGGUAAGGGCACUUCGAAAGAUUCCUUCUCAUCAUCUAUACAAGGAAAUGUGUUCUCAUCAAGCUACGGGACAAGGCAAAUUAGCAACCUUUAUACUCAGAUAUAUUAUUCCAAGCAGAUAAACAUGUAAAUAUAUGUGAAGAAUAUUAUGAUAAUGAUCAAUAUAGAAUCUGUAACAUUAUCAGAGGGGUAUCGAUCGACCAUCCAAAGAAAAGGAUAUCCUCUGCAUAUGUGCAUGCCAACAACUAUAAAAGGAGACCAUGAGGCAAUGAAUCAUCAAAGCAAAGACACAGAUAUCCCAACUAAAAAUCAAUCAGUGAGACAAUGGCUGGAACUGGAACCAAUGAUAUUAAAAUUAAAGGGUUCGAUUUGAGCAACAACAGCGGCAACACGUCGGGAUUAACCCACUUCGCCAACAGAGCUGAUGGGGGCGACAAGGGCGACAAUAAAAUCGAGGUUGAGGGUGCUAAAGCGCAAGAUAACAAGGGAAACUUGAAAGUACUUACCGAUUUCGCCCAACGCGGUGAAGUGGGCAGGUCGGAUCGCCAAGAACUUCUCAAGCCUCAGGCAUGAAAUUGAAGAAGGCCAUACCAUAUAUGUGCUGAAUUAUCUACACAAAAAUAAGAGCUGAUGUUUUAUCUGAGGCUCCUUCCUUGGUUAGGCCUCGUUAUCAUGUGUAAUAUUAAUAUUAUUAUUCUAAUAAAAUAAUGGCAGCUUAUUAUUAAAUAUAUCAAAAUUCUAUACGUAUAACUUUUAGAUUCUUGAGUGGGAAACCCUAGCUGCAUUCUGGUCCCUUUUCUUCUUGCCGACAACCAACCACAAGGAAACUAAAGGGGGAGGUGGCCACUGCCCCUCCCCCCCUUCGCCCAUCUUCCCUUUCUCUCCUCAUCUUCCCUUCUUUUUCUCCCAUCUUUUCCCUUCCUCUUAUGCCCUCUUCUCUUCCCAUUCCCUUUCCCAUAUAGUCUAGAUCUAUUUGGAUCUAGGUUUUGUUUGUUUGUUUGUUUGGUUUGGUUUGGUUGUUUUUGCAGUAUUCUAGGUGACUGGUAGUGACGUUGGAUUGUGUCUAUUAUCGGGAGAGUUGUGAUACCUAGUGGCUGAUGUUUUGUCUCUGUUUCAACGACGGCGGCAGUAGCGACACUAGUGAUAGUUAUUGGAUGUGGUGCUCUUCUUUAUUCUGCACUUACCGAAGAACUAUGCUUGGUCAUAGGAGGUUUUCUUUGUCAGAUUCUGAGUUGAAGUGGAGUGCUUCUUAGGGGUCCUUUUAUUGUUGCUUCUAUGUUCCUCCUCUGUGUUCUCUCCUGUUUUCUGUUAUGGUAUGCCUUGUAGUUUGUAUGGGUGUCAAAAUACUAUGAUUUUGCUCAUAGAAGGCUUCUUUUGACAGUUGGGAUAUUCUACGAUCCUCUUCUGUGGGUUUACUAUUUGGGGUUUCUGUCGUUCUCUCAUGUGGGUGUACUAUGUUGGUAUCUAGUUGAGGUUUUCGUCGGAGUUCUUUUUGUUAGUUUUCGUUUUUGAUUUGUUCUUUUAUUGUAAUGGUCCAAAGCGACCAGAAUUAAACUCUCUUGUUAGUCCAUGACAUGUGUGGUACUCUUUUCUCCCCGGGGUUUGUCCCUUGAGAUUGCCCUAGGAAGGUUUUAACGAGGCCACUAUAUCAUGUUGCUCAUUGUACGUCUUUGGUUCUAUUAAUUAAUUCUCUUUCUUAAAAAUAACAAAAAUAAAUAAAUAAAUAAAUAAAAAUUUAGAUUAUUGAUAACGAUGUCAACAAGAGAAAAUGAUUAAAAAGUCCUUUCUCCAAUUCGUGAUGUUACAAAAUGAGACUUCAAAUUGUAAAACUAUAGUUGGAUACGAGUAUAAAACUGAACCAGGCAAUGUAUGGGCCAGAGUGACCAAGGUUGUACGACAGUGAACUAAUGGCAAUUUCUCGUUGCAUGCACGCAUAUGCAAUUGAAGAAUGCCAUAAUAAUAUGUGUUUUUACUAAAUUAUCUACACUAAAAUAAAAACUGAGGCAUUAUCUGAGGCUCUUUCCUUGGCUAGGCCUCAUUUUCAAUUUUGAUUUCAACUUUGAUUUCGCUUAAACUUUGAUUUUGAGCUAGACUGUAAUUUCGACUUUGAUUCUGAUUCUCUCCCAAUUCAUGCCUUAAGAAUCAGUUUCUCCCAACUCUAUUUACCAAAACCAAAAACUCUAAACUUUUCAAUUCGUCUGGGUACUCUCAGAGUUUCAUGCCCUAGUUUCCUCUCGCCAAAAAGCCAAAAAGACUUGGCUUUCAUGUAAUGCUAUACUCCUCGAUUGAACAAGCUGCGUCUUCAAAUUCAACUUUCUCACUUCCCUUCUCUUUACUUUCUUUUCUUUUGUUUUCCAGCCCGGAAAAUCAUGGAAGCAUUACAAAUUUAAGAGAAUAUUCUAGUAUUAGGGUCCAAACUGUACUAUUUAGGUAUUUUCAUUCUGAUUAAGAGUUCUUUUCUAGAAAUUUGGUGAAGAAAAAAUAGAGUUUCUGUUUUAGUGUUUGAUUUUCAUUAUAGUGAGUUAUGUGAAAUCGAAAUGUUUCUUGUGUGAUUUCAUCACUGCUUUCAAAUUGCAAAUUAAGGAUUUGAAGGUUACAAAUUAUUAUGUAGAUAAUUUUUGGGAAUUUAAGAGGCAGUACAGUGUUUGUAUAAGUCUUGAGAUAGACCAAUUUACCACAUGCUCGAUUUCUAUAUAUAAAUUUUUUUAAAUCAUUCUUUUGUUUUAUUUAUUCUGUUAAUUUGUCAUAAUGUGUAAUAUGAUAGCUUCUAAUUCUUUCUUCCUAUUUCUUCUUUUUUGUUAUUCUCUCCCAAAUGAAAUGAAGACCUAACUUAUAUCAAGAAGAAGAGGAUGGAUCCUUACAUAUGAAGAUUUUAAAAUUAACAUUAUUGGAAGACAGUAGGAGUAUCGGCAAUUUGAUACAAGUAUCGGAGUAUCAAAUACGAGCAUGCCCGUCUUUAACAAUGUCUCAUUUCAAUUAGUACAAAAGAAAAAUAAAGGCAGAGUUCAAAAUAGAUUGUUCAGUUUCGAAAGUGACAUUGAGAUUUAAAAAGACUAGACAUUAAGAUGGCAAGAGAGAUCUAAAAGGAUCAAACAAAAAAAAUGAAUGAAAAAUUGAAAAUGCCCUAGAAAGGGAGGAAAUCUUAGUUGCAAUGGGGAUAACAGUAUUUUGCUAUCCUCGAUCAAUAAUUUUAUACCACGUGACCUAAGGAGGCAUGUCAAUCUAGCUCAUCUGGUCCACCGUCCAUGAUAUGAACUCGACUUGAGAGUUUUUUUUUUUUUUUUUUUUUUUUUUUGGGGUUGAAGUAGAACAACUAGACUUGAGAGUUGAUGUCACAUCUCAAGGUCGGUUCCACCGUAGCACGAUAUUGUCUGCUUUGGGCCCCCUCUUUGUCCUCGCGGUUUUGUUUUUAGGAGCUCACGAGCAACUUCCCAGUUGGUCACCCAUCUUGGGAUUGCUCUAGCCCAAACUCACUUAACUUCGGAGUUCUCAUGACUUCGAAAUCAGUGAGCUCCCAAAAGGCCUCGUGCUAAAAGGAGGUGGGCAUAUACAUAUAAGGCGCAACACCCCCUCUCCGUUAGUCGAUGUGGAAUGUUACAAUCCACCCCCUUUAGAGGUCCGACGUCCUCGUCGGCACAGUCUCACCACACGGCAGAGUGGCUCUAUGCCAAAUUGUCGCAUUCCGGGAUCGGCUCCGUCGUAACACGAUAUUGUCCGCGUUGGGUCAACCUCUCUGCCCUCACGAUUUUGUUUCUGGGAGCUUACGAGCAACUUCCCAGUAGAUCACUCAUCCAAACUCGCUUAACUUCGGAGUUCCCAUGACUCCGAAGCCAGUGAGCUCCCAAAAGACCUCGUGCUAAAUGGAGGUAGGCAUGUACAUAUAAGGCACAUCACCUCCGCUCCGUUGGUCGAUGUGGGAUGUUACAGUUGAGGGCUCCGUUGGUCGAUGUACGAUGUUACAGUUGAGGGCUCCGUUGGUCGAUGUAGGAUGUUAUAGUUGAGGCAGCCAAAAUAGAAGGGAAGCAACCCUACUCCACUCCCUCUCCCCAUGUGCCCAGUUCUCUACUCGUUUACUUCACCUUUUAAACCCCUUCGUACUUGAAGACCUGGCUGGCAAUUUGAUUGAAGCGAAAGAGACUAAUUAUCCAUGCUUUUGUUGAAAUCAUUAACAAAAUAAGAAACUUUAGUAAUUGAAGCGAAAGAGACUAAUUAUCAAAACAGAAAAUAUGAAAAAAGAAGCUCCCAAUCCGAACUUUAAGUCACAAGUUUAACAGUUUACUUUAAAACAAAAGCAAGUUACGAAACAAUCCCCUUAUUUACUUGUUAAACAUCAACCGACCCAUUAUUGAUGAGGAUUGAGAAUCUAAGAGCACAUGGACGAUGGAUCUCUCUCCCUUUUUGAAAACAAAAACAAAAACCAACUUCAUUAUCCUUAGUGAAUUUGUUCUGGAUUAGUUGUGUUGCAAUGGAACAUCGAACCUACCUAGCUAAAAGGAAAAAAGAAAGGCCACUACGACAGUACUGCAGUAUAUUAUUCCAAGAAGACAAAUGUAGACUAUAUACGUGAAGAAUAUCUAGUAUUGGUCGUCAUUUUCAAUCCUCAUAAAAGAAAACUUACUUCGCCAUAAUUUCAGGUUGUUCUCAAGGCAGGAAGGUAAGGACACUUGAAAAGAUUCCUUCUCAUCAUCUAUAUAAGGAAAUGUGUUCUCAUCAAGCUAGGGGACAAGGCAAAUUAGCAACCUUUAUACUCGAUAUAUUAUUCCAAGCAGAUAUACAUGUGAAGAAUAUUAUGAUCUUGAUCAAUAUGGAAUCUGUAUCAUGAUCAGUGGAUGUAUCGAUCGACCAUCCAAAGAAAAAGGAUAUCCUCUGCAUAUAUGUGUGCAUGCCAACAACUAUAAAAGGAGACCAUGAGGCAAUGAGUUGAUCAUCAAAGCAAACACACAGAAAUCCCAACUAAAAAUCAAUCAGUGAGACAAUGGCUGGAACUGGAACCAAUGAUAUUAAAAUUAAAGGGUUCGAUGUGAGCAACAACAGCGGCAACACGUCGGGAUUAACCCACUUCGCCAACAGAGCUGCCGAGGGCGACAAGGGCGACAAUAAAAUCGAGGUUGAGGAUGCUAAAGGGCAAGGGAACACGGGAAACUUGAAAGUACUGACCGACUUCGCCCAACGCGGUAAAGUGGGCCAGUCGGAUCGCCAAGAACUUGUCAAACCUCAGGCAUGAAAUUGAAGAAGGCCAUACCAUAACCACUUGUCUGCUUGAUAGAUAUAUGUGCUAAAUUAUCUACACAAAAAUAAGAGCUGAUGUUUUAUCUGAGGCUCCUUCCUUGGUUAGGCCUCGUUAUCAUGUGUAAUAUUAAUAUUAUUAUUCUAAUAAAAUAAUGGUAGCUUAUUAUUAAAUAUACCCAAAUACUAUACGUAUAACUUUUAGAUUAUUGAUACUGGUGUCAACAAGAGAAAAUGAUUAAAAAGUCCUUUCUCGCAUUCGUGAUGUUAGAA